This 433-nucleotide ribosomal RNA is filed under the name uncultured bacterium. RNAcentral's name for it is "partial 16S ribosomal RNA". It matches the Rfam family "Bacterial small subunit ribosomal RNA", at positions 29 to 507 of the family's 1533-position model. The record is from RNAcentral.
AGCGAACGCUGGCGGCAGGCUUAACACAUGCAAGUCGAGCGGGCACUUCGGUGUCAGCGGCAGACGGGUGAGUAACACGUGGGAACGUACCCUUUGGUUCGGAAUAACGCUGGGAAACUAGCGCUAAUACCGGAUACGCCCUUUUGGGGAAAGGCUUGCUGCCGAAGGAUCGGCCCGCGUCUGAUUGGCUAGUUGGUGGGGUAAUGGCCUACCAAGGCGACGAUCAGUAGCUGGUCUGAGAGGAUGAUCAGCCACACUGGGACUGAGACACGGCCCAGACUCCUACGGGAGGCAGCAGUGGGGAAUAUUGGACAAUGGGCGCAAGCCUGAUCCAGCCAUGCCGCGUGAGUGAUGAAGGCCUUAGGGUUGUAAAGCUCUUUUGUCCGGGACGAUAAUGACGGUACCGGAAGAAUAAGCCCCGGCUAACUUCGUG